UACGAAGGGGGCUAGCGUUGUUCGGAAUUACUGGGCGUAAAGCGCGCGCAGGCGGCUAUCCAAGUCAGUGGUGAAAUCUCCGAGCUUAACUUGGAAACUGCCAUUGAUACUAUUCGUCUUGAAUUCUGUUGAGGUGGGCGGAAUAUGUCAUGUAGCGGUGAAAUGCAUAGAUAUGACAUAGAACACCGAUUGCGAAGGCAGCUCACUAAGCAGACAUUGACGCUGAGGCACGAAAGCGUGGGGAUCAAACAGG
This 253-nucleotide ribosomal RNA is filed under the name uncultured bacterium. RNAcentral's name for it is "partial 16S ribosomal RNA". It matches the Rfam family "Bacterial small subunit ribosomal RNA", at positions 524 to 776 of the family's 1533-position model. The record is from RNAcentral.